GAUGAACGCUGGCGGCGUGCCUAAUACAUGCAAGUAGAACGCUGAAGGAGGAGCUUGCUCUUCUGGAUGAGUUGCGAACGGGUGAGUAACGCGUAGGUAACCUGCCUGGUAGCGGGGGAUAACUAUUGGAAACGAUAGCUAAUACCGCAUGACAACAGUUAUUGCAUGAUAACUGUUUAAAAGGGGCAACUGCUCCACUACCAGAUGGACCUGCGUUGUAUUAGCUAGUUGGUGAGGUAACGGCUCACCAAGGCGACGAUACAUAGCCGACCUGAGAGGGUGAUCGGCCACACUGGGACUGAGACACGGCCCAGACUCCUACGGGAGGCAGCAGUAGGGAAUCUUCGGCAAGGGACGGAAGUCUGACCGAGCAACGCCGCGUGAGUGAAGAAGGUUUUCGGAUCGUAAAGCUCUGUUGUAAGAGAAGAACGAGUGUGAGAGUGGAAAGUUCACACUGUGACGGUAUCUUACCAGAAAGGGACGGCUAACUACGUG
Molecule: ribosomal RNA, 495 nt
Filed under: uncultured bacterium
Lineage: Bacteria
Description: partial 16S ribosomal RNA
Rfam family: Bacterial small subunit ribosomal RNA
Source: RNAcentral